UGCUUUACACAUGCAAGUCGAACGGCAGCACGGACUUCGGUCUGGUGGCGAGUGGCGAACGGGUGAGUAAUGCAUCGGAACGUGCCCAGUCGUGGGGGAUAACGUAGCGAAAGUUACGCUAAUACCGCAUACGACCUACGGGAGAAAGCAGGGGAUCGCAAGACCUUGCGCGAUUGGAGCGGCCGAUGUCAGAUUAGCUAGUUGGUGGGGUAAAGGCCUACCAAGGCGACGAUCUGCAGCGGGUCUGAGAGGAUGAUCCGCCACACUGGAACUGAGACACGGUCCAGACUCCUACGGGAGGCAGCAGUGGGGAAUUUUGGACAAUGGGCGAAAGCCUGAUCCUGCCAUUCCGCGUGAGUGAUGAAGGCCUUCGGGUGCAAAGCUU
This 385-nucleotide ribosomal RNA is filed under the name uncultured organism. RNAcentral's name for it is "bacterial SSU rRNA". It matches the Rfam family "Bacterial small subunit ribosomal RNA", at positions 45 to 433 of the family's 1533-position model. The record is from RNAcentral.